RNAcentral lists this small RNA (125 nucleotides) under Marmota monax (woodchuck). Lineage: Eukaryota; Metazoa; Chordata; Mammalia; Rodentia; Sciuridae. The record is from RNAcentral.
GCCGGGCAUGGUGGCACACGCCUGCAAUCCCAGCGGCUCGGGAGGCUGAGGCAGGGGGAUUGCAAGUUCAAAGCCAGCCUCAGCAAUGGCAGGGUGCUAAGCAACUCAGUGAGACUCUGUCUCUA